Dermochelys coriacea (leatherback sea turtle) is the source of this 1355-nucleotide long non-coding RNA. RefSeq lists it as uncharacterized. The record is from RefSeq and is a predicted model, not a curated record. Lineage: Eukaryota; Metazoa; Chordata; Testudines; Dermochelyidae. The transcript has 4 exons.
GAGCUGGGGGUCAAGGUGGCAGCAGAAUUGGGGGGUGAGGUGCCUGUGGAGCUGGGGGUCGAGGUGGCAGCAGAAUUGGGGGUCGAGGUGCCUGUGGAGCUGUGGGUCGAGGUGGCAGCAGAAUUGGGGGUCGAGGUGCCUGUGGAGCUGGGGGUCGUGGUGGCAGCAGAACUGGGGGGUGAGGUGCCUGUGGAGCUGGGGGUCGAGGUGUCAGCGGAACUGGGGUUCGAGGUGGCAGUGGAGCUGUGGCUCACUGUGUGAGUGGAGCUGGGGCUUACGGUGGGAGAAGAGUUGGAGGUCGAGGUGGCCCCAGCAGAGGCGAUGGUGGACGUGCUUUGUCUCUGACUCGUACCUAUCAUGGUGGAAGUUGCCCCUGGGGAAAGGAAGAAUAGCAGCAGUUUAUACAGCAGCUGGGUAACGCCAAUCGCUUUUGCAAUUUCGGUUCUUGGUGUUGCCCUGUAGUGGCUGCAGGGGACCUUGCUUUUGAAGGCUCUGCUCCUGAGCUUAGGCCUCUGCCUGGACCCUGUGCUGCUUACAUUGCACAGUCACAAGUCCAGUCCGUGCAGAGGGCCCAGCCAGCUGCCUCCCUACAUCGGCAUCCUCCUGAUUCCUCCCUAUCCCUGCCCUGCUGAUGGGGCUGAGAGGCAUUUCCAGUAACAAGGAGACAUCUCCACCAAGAGCACAUCCAAAGACCAUGCGCAGAGACUGUUCAGUACACACAGCCCACCACCCACACUGGACAAGGAGACAAAUCAGAAACGAAGGGGGAAAGCUCCUGCGUUGCUCGACACCUCCCUAUUGCUGAUGGCACCAUCAAUAGCACAUUUCUUGGCUGCUGCUCUCCUACAAUGGAAAAAAAUCGGUGCCCUCAAAGCCAUCUCUCCUUCCUUGAUCCCCUUGCUCUGGGACUGAAUCAGAGCUGGUGCCCACUAGAGGGGAAAGGCUGCAUAUCACAUUUCCCACCCGCCUAGCCAGCCAGUGCCCCCAGCCUAGGGUGGGCAUGAAGCCAGCACCCUUGAGAUAAAAGGCCCCAUAUCCCACUUCCGGUUCCAAUCAAUUUGCAGAUGAUCAAGCCCUUUUAUUCAUCACAACAUACAUUAUUUCACUUUCCAUAAACCAUUUGCCAAUGGAACCUGUUCCCCUCAGAACUCCCAGGCCCUCUCAGGCCACUCUCUCCCGGCUUUUAUUCUCUCAUUUUUUAACUGUAAUUUUUGCUUAAAAAAAUGUUUCAAAACGCAGUGAGGCCCAGCAAGAUCCAUGAAAAUGGACGGGCAUUUGUCACUGGUCUUAUCUUGGGGCUGGGACAAUCUCGUUGUUCCUUGUUUGUACAGCACCUGGCACAACGGGGCCCUGAU